UUCAAAAAGGUAAACGUUCUUUUCGGAUUAAAGUGAACUGAAACUAAAUAUGCAUUGCUCCUCGGAAACGUUCGUGUCGCUGUUGCACUUGCACUUUGCGAAAAACCAGAGAACCAAAAAUAUCUUGACAUCUCACCAUCGUGAAAGUUUGAAAUCUGAAAUCUAAAAACUAAAUUUGUGCUAUUAAUUUCUCUGUCGCUGUCCUAGAAUAAUCGCAGUUAGACUAGAACAGCGGUGAAUGUCAUUGACAUUAGAGACGAAGUUGCACUCAAUUUACCCGCACUUUUUCCCUUUUAAUAAUCUCGUCGAAACUGCGAAAGUGAAAUGAACUUCGAACUAACCAAGCUUGUCAAAACUGUGAAUGGAACGUACAUGAAAAGUGAAAAAUCUUUUCGAAAUAAGAUGUACAAACAAUAUCGCUCGUUUCUUGAAGCACACGUUAAAUAAAUGAAACUAUGACACUUGACAACGAAUA
This is a long non-coding RNA of Bombus impatiens (common eastern bumble bee), 475 nucleotides long. RefSeq lists it as uncharacterized. Lineage: Eukaryota; Metazoa; Arthropoda; Insecta; Hymenoptera; Apidae. The record is from RefSeq and is a predicted model, not a curated record. The transcript has 2 exons.